This 233-nucleotide ribosomal RNA is filed under the name uncultured bacterium. RNAcentral describes it as "partial 16S ribosomal RNA". It matches the Rfam family "Bacterial small subunit ribosomal RNA", at positions 794 to 1030 of the family's 1533-position model. The record is from RNAcentral.
UCCACGCCGUAAACGAUGAUCACUAGUUGUGUGCGAUAUACAGUACGUGACUGAGCGAAAGCAUUAAGUGAUCCACCUGGGGAGUACGUUCGCAAGAAUGAAACUCAAAGGAAUUGACGGGGGCCCGCACAAGCGGAGGAACAUGUGGUUUAAUUCGAUGAUACGCGAGGAACCUUACCCGGGCUUAAAUUGGUAGUGCCAGUAUAAGAGAUUAUAUUUUCCUUCGGGACACU